This 251-nucleotide ribosomal RNA is filed under the name uncultured bacterium. Its description in RNAcentral is "partial 16S ribosomal RNA". It matches the Rfam family "Bacterial small subunit ribosomal RNA", at positions 337 to 580 of the family's 1533-position model. The record is from RNAcentral.
UCCUACGGGGCGCAGCAGUAGGGAAUUUUCGUCAAUGGGCGCAAGCCUGAACGAGCGAUGCCGCGUGAGUGAAGAAGGCCUUCGGGUCGUAAAGCUCUGUUGCGGGGGAAAAAAGGCAGCAUCAGGAAAUGGGUGCUGACUGAUGGUGCCCCGCCAGAAAGUCACGGCUAACUACGUGCCAGCAGCCGCGGUAAUACGUAGGUGGCGAGCGUUAUCCGGAAUGAUUGGGCGUAAAGGGUGCGCAGGCGGUC